This 63-nucleotide small RNA is filed under the name Sinorhizobium meliloti 2011. RNAcentral's name for it is "putative ncRNA". Lineage: Bacteria; Pseudomonadati; Pseudomonadota; Alphaproteobacteria; Hyphomicrobiales; Rhizobiaceae. The record is from RNAcentral.
GUUUGACGGACUGGAUCGGUUCCACCGGCGGCGCAUCGGUAUGGCCGAGUAAUGACCUGUCGG